CCAAUGUCUUGCCGCGUGUUCUUUCUCUCAUCUUCUGGCGUCUUCUUCAGCUGUCUCAAACAGACAGAAAAAGAGAGCACAGAUUAGCUUCUCGCGUCUCGCGUCUUCUUCAAAUAUCACAGAGAGAGAGAGAGGGAGAUGAUGUUCGGUUAGCAGAAAGGGAUAUAGCAGAGAGAGUGAGGAAGACGGGGAGAGCAGAUUUUUGAUCUGAGAUUCUGAAUUUGGGAAUCGAUGUGAAGACAUGGGUUUAGCGUUUUGUUUUGUUAACAGAAAGGUAUAGGGCAGAGAGAGUGGAGGAAGAUUGGAUUAGAUAAAUUUGGGGACAAGGCUCUGAUUUGGAGGAAUUGGCCAAGAUGGACAGAUUUGACGACCGAACCGCAUACCUGCUCAUCAACCAGGUUUGAGCAUGGUAAUGGCUGCCAUUGUUUUGAGUCAGCUAUGAGUUGUUGGCUUGGGUAGCAGGGGCUGAAAGGCAAGGACUAAAGAGUGCUUAGUUGACUCAAGUUGGAUUAACUCAAUGAGGAUAACCUUUAUGUAGUUCAAACCAAAAUAAAAGAAAAAGGAAGAUGAUAUAACAAGAAUGCUGUGCUGAUAUAACAUCAUGUACUUAUUGGAGUGGAAUUCAUACUAUCUUAGAUUUUCUUUGUUUUUAACUUGUCAAAUAUUUUUUGGGAUCUUUUCAAGUACAUGAUUAGCAGCUGUCCAUCAAUACUUUGGUUCAGAGCAUUGCAGGCUGGGUCUGCGUUGACAGUUGCGAUAAAUUUGAGUAAUUCGUUUUGUAUACGUGUAUUGAAUAGUAAUUUCAGGUGCUUGCCUUUUCAUAACUUUUCAAUUUCAGUAAAUACCAGCAACAGCUUACAAAAGAGGCUUGCAACUAAUUUAUACAUUGGAUUUUCACCUCCCAAAAAAGUUUCAUUCAUUCAUAUAUAAGUUAGAUUGUCUACUGACUUUUACCCCUUCUACACAGCUAUAGGGUGUACAUAACAGUUGCAGACACAGAUAACAAGUCACACUUGAUUCAGGGCGGUAUGUGUACGUUUUAGGAAUUUGAAUUGCAAUUUUUUUUGCUUCGGUUUCAUAGCUGCUGUUAGUUAAAAAGGAUUAGGGUUGGUAAAACUUAUAAUGAUUAAGGAUGUGUAUAUUGCUCAAUUUGAAUUCUGUUGAGCACAAUAAACAAAUGGCUCUGUCCUUCUAUUCUUUUUGAUACUUAUCUCUUUCGAUUUGAUUUUUGAUGGAGUACAACCAGUUCGGAUUUAUACUCUUAACUUAAUUUGAAAUGUUGGUGAUUCUUUGCAGCUGCUG
This is an RNA transcript of Fragaria vesca subsp. vesca, 1302 nucleotides long. RefSeq lists it as uncharacterized. The transcript is spliced from 4 exons. NCBI's taxonomy places the organism in Eukaryota, Viridiplantae, Streptophyta, Magnoliopsida, Rosales, Rosaceae. The record is from RefSeq and is a predicted model, not a curated record.